UAUUGUGACAUGUGUCAAUAAAAAAAAUAGAUUGUGAAUGUGUCAAUAAAAACUGAUAUUAUGUGAAAAUAACUUAUUAUUUUCCUAAAAUCCUAAAAAAAAAAGAUUUAUAAAAAAUAUAUAUAUUUUCUAAUAUUAACAAACUAAUAUUUUUUUCUUUUUUAGAUCCUGAACAAAGAAUUGUAAAAUUUUAUUUAAUAGUAAUUUUUACUUAAACAUUAAUGAUAAACAUGAAAGUAACAGUUAUUUAAUUAACAAAUUUUUUAAAAAAAUAUUAGUGAUAUUACAAAAAGAAUUUUUAAAAUGGAAACUUUUAAAAAUAGUUAAUAUAAACUGGAAAUAAUUAUUUGAUAAAAAUGUUUUUUUAAAUCCUAAACAAAAUAUAAUUCUAAAUGAUUAUGUAAUAUUAAUUUCCUAUCUAAAAUCCUAAAAAACUGUAAAAGAAUAUUUGAUAUUUAUUUCCUUCUUUAUAAAAGAAAUCCUAAAUAAAAUAAAUUUGUAUCAUAUUUUGAAGUCCUAACCAAAAGAGAAUUGUAAAAUUUUAUUUGAUAAUAUUUUUAAGAGAGUAUUUGAUGAUGAAGAAGAUACUAAAAAUUAUUUAAUAAUAAAAGAAUCACUACAAGAAAACAUAUUUUUUACGAGGGCAAUAUUCGUUGUAAAUUCGUCGUAAACGGGGUAUUACGACGAAUUAACCUCGAAAGAUGUUUUGUCGUAAAACGUCCGUCGUAACAGAGGUUUUGUCGUAAACGACUUGUUACGUUUACGACAAAAUAUAUUCCUCUUAAAGCGCAUGGCAUCGUUUCGUCGUAAACGAGACGUAAUACUUCGUGGUAAACUCCACGUAACGGUUUUGGUGUAAAGCAGACGUAAAUUCUUUCGUUGUAAAGAACACGUAAACGUUUCGAUGUAAAACCCUCGUAAAUCUUUCGACGUUAAUCACUCGUAAACAUUUACGUGGAGUUUACAUCGAUUCUUAUUAAUAUAUAAUAAAUUUGAAUAUUUUUUUAACCUCAAAUAUAAAUUUAAAUUUAUUUAAAAUUCAGAAUUUAAAAUAAUUUAAAUUUUAAAACGAAAUAUGAAAAUGAAAAACAUAUUUUAAAAAAGCAUUAAAAAGUCAUACAAUAAUAUUUAAAUUCAUAAUACAAACCGAAAUAUAAAAAACUACAUAUCAUCGAAGUAGUCGGUGGGGUUGCUCGGCUGUUGACGGGUUGGAUCGGACUCUUGGGGAUCUCGUACUGGCAACUCAAGAGCGGCCUCGUCUCUCACUCAACAUUCUCUGCAUAACCGGGUUUCCCACGGCCAUCACGUCUAGCAAAUCCUCAAGAGAGUCUAAACGAACUUGCUGGCUAUACAUUCGAGCUUUCAUCUGAGAAGUCUCUUCAUCCCGUCUCGAAGUGUAUGACGAAGUUGCCCUUGCAACUUCGUUAACAGAGCCUAUACCGACUAUCCGUCCCUUCCUUUUAGGAGCCACCUAUAAAAUUAAAACAUAUAUUAAUAUAGUUAAUUAUGUUAAAAUAUUAAAAAUAAUUUAAACAAAAAUUUUAAGUUGUACCUCUUCGAAGAUUCUGUCGGCGUCUUCGGUGGACAAUGUGACGGGUAAUCCAUCGGGAGAAUCCUAGGUUACUUGCGUCGCCCGUUCUUCAAUCCGAGAAGCCACUGCUUGUAAGAGUUUCUCAGAUGCAGGAUCCACAAAAACUCCGUCGGAUGUGGCGUGAGUCAUCUUGAAUAGGUCAGACAGAGAUGGUAAGAUUCCCGUCUUCUCUAACUACAAAAAAAAAUUAAAUUAAAUAUUAAAAAUUAAAUUAAUUGAAAAUUUAAAAAUAAAUAUUUUAAACAAAACUUACAGCUUCUAGACGGAUUCCUGCAUGAGGUUUUUGUCCGGUUCUGUGAAGCAUGGACAAAUGACCAUCUUUAUCCUUCGUUCUUCGAGAAGCCGAGCACGAAUUGGCCUUUUUGAUGGAAGAGGGGUGCUCCCAAUAGGCGAUGAGGCCAUCCCACACAUCCUUCGUGAGCUCAGUGGGCUUUCCCUCAUACCCGUAGAUCUCCCACUUGUCCUUCCAAUCGGAGACUGUGUUGCAGAGGCGGAUCUUUGCCUUUGCAACGAAUUCCGCCUUCACCUUCUCGGUGAUUCCCAAAGACCAAUGCCACUUUUGCUGAAACACAAUUUUUUUGAAGAAAUUAUAAUUAAUAAUAAAUAUUAAAAUAUAUAUAUAUAUAUAUUUAAAAGUGAAAAUUUAAUUAAAUUUAAAAUCUUACCGCAAAACAUUUAAACCAAGUGAUCUUAACGUGAUUUGGUGUAUUGCUCCAGUUCGGAUAUGCCCCGUCGUAAUAACUCUUAAUCGUCUUCGAAACGCUCCGGCUAACAUGGUUGUUAGCCCCAAACCUGAAAAAAAACAAUAUAACCGUUAGAAAAUAAAAAUAAUUUAAAUUUUAAUGUAAUAAAAAUUAAUAACUUACCAAUAAGUUCCUCGGGGUCUAUCGGGGUCUAGAACAUCCAAACCCUUCCGACCAGGCUGGGCAAGCAAAUCCUCCACCGUAUAUCUCGCGAAUGGGGCAUAUGAAGGCACACGCAAAUCCGGAUGAACUGCACCUUCUGGGACAGGCUGAGGUGCAGCCGCUGGAGGAGGAGGUGGAGGCAUCUGCGGUGGAAGAGGAGGACUCCAAGCAACUCUCUGAGAAGGCUGAGAGUCUGGAACUGCAUCAGAAGACGAUGGACCGGAAGAAGAUGUACCGGAACCAUCGCCAAAGAACUGGGAAUAAGUAGGUGCUGCUGAUUUCCUCCUAGGAGCCAUCUAAAAAAAAUUAAAAUAAAUUUAAUCAAUUACGACAUAAUUAAAAAGUUAUUCUGUUACCUAACUAAUCACCUAAACUAGUAUUCCGUCACCUAACUAAUCACCUAAACUAAUUAUCUAACUAAUCACCUAAACUAAUUACCUAACUAAUUAAUCACCUAAACUAACUUCAAAAAAAAAGAGGGCAGAGAGUUUACCUUAGAGGGAGAGCAAAGGAGUUUGGGAGGAAUGAACGAGGCAGCCUCGCUCUCGGCGUCUCAUUAUAUAGAUAAUGAUUCGUCGUAAACGCAACGUAAUAUUACGACGAAGUUAUCAGGCCCGCGUUUUUCCAUUUACAACGAAGUUACCAGGCCCGUGUUUUUUCAUUUAUGACGAAAUUACCAGGUCCGUGUUUUUCCGUUUACGACGAAAUUACGUUGAAUAGGUUUACCAGGCUUUUCCAUUUACGACGAAUUUACGACGCUUAACCCUAAACACCGAGAAUGAAAUCCCUAAACCCCAAAGUCACAUAUCAUCUAACAUCAUAUCUUAUUCUUUACUACUUCUCACUCUUUCUCCAACUUAAACCCUAAAACUCCAAAUAAAUUUUUAAAAACUAAAGAUGAAAAAUUAUAUAAAACAACAUUUGUUACACAUAUAUUAAGAUGGUAAAAAAACAAUAUUUCUUUAAACAUACAUUACAAUAGAGAAAUACAACAUUUGUUACGUAUAUUACAUCACUAAAUCAUUUUUCGUUCUCAUCACUAUCAUUACAAUCAUCAUCGUCGCUUCUCUCGAACUCGUCUUCACGUGCUUCAUCUGUCGCAUCUUCGGGAAUAUCUUCAUAUUGAAAGUUCUGCGGGUAGAUCAAAAGGAUUUCAUCAGUUGGUUGUUCUAGUACCUCAACUUCAGUGAUAGCGUCUUCUUCUUGCAAGGGCGGUUCUUCUCCAGCGACAAUGCGUCCACGAGGUGUAAUUUUGAUAGCAGCUACCCAGUUUAUCCCGGAAGUUCGAAGCCGAGGAUAAGGAAGGAAGCUAACUUGCUCAGCUUGUGAAGCUAAAAAGAAAGGCUCAAAUUUGUUGUAUAUUCUCUCAUAAUUGACAUCCACAACACCAAAUUUGUUAUACCGAAUCCCUCGGUUCACAACAGGAUCGAACCAUUCACAUUUGAAGAGGACGCAUUUUAGCUUCAAUAACCCCGGAAAUUCCACUUCAAUAAUCUCCUGCAAUAUCCCGUAAAAGUUUGUUUCACCUUUCACACAUAUUCCGUAGUUACUCGUUGCCUGAUGUCUCUCAUACUUGUAUGUGUGAAAGGUAAAUCAUCAUGUGAAAUACAUAGGUGAUGUGGUGACCUUUGCAACUGGACCUUGAACCAAUUCGUGAAACCAUACGGGAUAAUAUGGAUCGUCAUAAUCAACCUGCAAAAAGCAGAUUUUCUUAAUUAAUAUUGAAGUAUCAAAACACUUACUUAAUUAAUCAAUGUAUGAGAUAUAUUACGUACCUGUGAUUUUAACCACUUGACAAAGUACUUAUCUUUACGUGUGUCCACAUCAGUUGCAGAUAUUCCUGGUAUUGCUUCUUCAACUUGAAAUACAAACAUGCUGCAAAUUAAACAAAUAAUCAAGUCAUACAUAAUUAACUUCAAUUCAUAUAAUUAACUUUCACAAAAAUAUUUAC
Brassica rapa (field mustard) is the source of this 4447-nucleotide long non-coding RNA. RefSeq lists it as uncharacterized. Lineage: Eukaryota; Viridiplantae; Streptophyta; Magnoliopsida; Brassicales; Brassicaceae. The record is from RefSeq and is a predicted model, not a curated record.